This 209-nucleotide long non-coding RNA is filed under the name Elaeis guineensis (African oil palm). RNAcentral describes it as "long non-coding RNA (EGUI_LNC069511)". Lineage: Eukaryota; Viridiplantae; Streptophyta; Magnoliopsida; Arecales; Arecaceae. The record is from RNAcentral.
ACUUCCAUCUGCAGUAUCAACUCCUAAGGCACCCAACAACAGUUAACUCGUCAGCAACCUCGAAAACAUCUGAGCUUUUCUUAAAUUGCUGAGACAGAGAGCCAUUCUAGUCCACCAGAUGUCCCAACCAAGCUUCAGCCGUCCAACCUAAACUCCCCAAAAAGUUGCGACAACGGACACCACUCCACUCUCUGUAACAAACUCCACAU